RNAcentral lists this ribosomal RNA (761 nucleotides) under uncultured Prevotella sp. RNAcentral describes it as "bacterial SSU rRNA". It matches the Rfam family "Bacterial small subunit ribosomal RNA", at positions 28 to 776 of the family's 1533-position model. The record is from RNAcentral. Lineage: Bacteria; Pseudomonadati; Bacteroidota; Bacteroidia; Bacteroidales; Prevotellaceae.
GAUGAACGCUAGCUACAGGCUUAACACAUGCAAGUCGAGGGGAAACGGGAGAAUAGCUUGCUAUUCUUUGUCGUCGACCGGCGCACGGGUGAGUAACGCGUAUCCAACCUUCCCAUAACUAAGGAAUACCCCGUAGAAAUGCGGCCUAAUCCCUUAUGGUCUCUUAUGCUUGUCAUGGGAAUAAGAGUAAAGAUUUAUCGGUUAUGGAUGGGGAUGCGUCUGAUUAGCUUGCUGGCGGGGUAACGGCCCACCAGGGCGUCGAUCAGUAGGGGUUCUGAGAGGAAGGUCCCCCACAUUGGAACUGAGACACGGUCCAAACUCCUACGGGAGGCAGCAGUGAGGAAUAUUGGUCAAUGGGCGAGAGCCUGAACCAGCCAAGUAGCGUGCAGGAUGACGGCCCUAUGGGUUGUAAACUGCUUUUUAAGGUGAAUAAAGAGGGGCACGUGUGCCCUGUUGCAUGUAGCCUUGGAAUAAGGACCGGCUAAUUCCGUGCCAGCAGCCGCGGUAAUACGGAAGGUCCAGGUGUUAUCCGGAUUUAUUGGGUUUAAAGGGAGCGUAGGCCGCAGGUUAAGUGUGUUGUGAAAAGCAGUCGCCCAACGUCUGCCUUGCAGCGCAAACUGUCCUGCUUGAGUGCGCACAACGCAGGCGGAAUUCGUCGUGUAGCGGUGAAAUGCUUAGAUACGACGAAGAACUCCGAUUGCGAAGGCAGCUUGCGGGAGCGCAACUGACGCUGAAGCUCGAAAGUGCGGGUAUCGAACAGG